UACAGAGGGGGCAAGCGUUAUUCGGAAUUACUGGGCGUAAAGCGUGCGCAGGCGGUUGUGCAAGACAGAUGUGAAAUCCCCGGGCUCAACCUGGGAACUGCAUUUGUGACUGCACGGCUGGAGUGCGGCAGAGGGGGAUGGAAUUCCGCGUGUAGCAGUGAAAUGCGUAGAUAUGCGGAGGAACACCGAUGGCGAAGGCAAUCCCCUGGGCCUGCACUGACGCUCAUGCACGAAAGCGUGGGGAGCAAACAGG
RNAcentral lists this ribosomal RNA (253 nucleotides) under uncultured bacterium. RNAcentral describes it as "partial 16S ribosomal RNA". It matches the Rfam family "Bacterial small subunit ribosomal RNA", at positions 524 to 776 of the family's 1533-position model. The record is from RNAcentral.